CUGUCCGUCUGGAGGUUCAUCAGCGGAUUCCUGUUCAGCAGCGCUCCUCCUGCUCCUGCUCCACCCGCCGCCCAGAACGCAUUUGGCUCCGGCUCCGGCGCCGCCGCAGAACCAAAGAGAGAUGCGGUUCGUAAGAGGGUUCUUGAGAAGAGGCCUGAGGACUUCAAGAAAGAUGGGAAAAUAUACCGGCUACGGACUCAAGAAGACAACGAGGACGACAACAACACGUGGAACGGGAACUCCACGCAGCAGAUGUAGCGCGGCCAGCCUCUGUGCUUUGAGUGUGUGUCAGUCUUAACGGUGGGUUGAUCAUUUAGGGCUGAUUUCCUCGCCUUCCCUCCGGCUCCACCGCAUGGGUAAAUCAGAUCAGGUUAGCUAACUCGCUUUAACAGGCACUUCAGCCAGGACGACUGCAGGCUGGAGAAACACAGGUUCCAGGCUUUGAUGCAUCUGUCAUCGCCAGCAUUGAUUUAAUACAGUGACCGCCGCUGUGAAUGCGGUCUGUUGUGAAUAUCCGAGGGUUUGUGGCGUUUUAUAUGGUGGUUUAACCCCACAGCGUCAUAAACCGCCUCGGCAACAGAAUGUCUUUCUACUAGUUUGAGCACAGAUGCUACUUGAUCCUUUAACGAUAGAAUAAAAGAUGUUUUUCAAUGAAACGCUUCGACUGCAGUCAUUCUUCUCUUUUGAUUUUGUGCUUCUGUUUAAUCUUCUAGAACUGUCUGUGUUUUCAUUAAUGCGUACAAAUUUAUUAAUCGUGACAAUCGUUUGCAAAAAUUAAUCUGGUUACUAUUAUCUGUUGUACUCCGUGUGAUCAUGUUUUGUGAUUCAUAUUAAAGGUAGAAGUAUUUUGGGUUCUCAUUCUUUUACUGUAUCAUUUGUGCGGUUUCUUAAAGAGUUAUGAGUUCUGCUUCAGGACGAUGCUCACCUCACGGAGAUCAGAAGGUCAGUCCAGGCAGAUUACAAAUGUGUUUAUUAGCAUUAUAAAUGUUCAGAUAGAAGCAAACAUUUGUGUAUCAAAGUUUCAUACGCUCAGAAUGAAGUGCAGCUCAUUCUCCGGUAGGGCUGUCAACUGAUUAAUGAACAAAAGUAAUGCAGUAAAAAUGAUACUCAUAAUGCUCCUCUUUUAGUAAUGGGAAACACUUUUUAAAAACAAAGCACGAGAGCAUGUGGCAGCGGGCGAUGAAAGCAUAACAGAGGUCAGUGAUGGUUGAUUAUAAGACUAUAUUCACUUCUAAAGACCACUGUUGUCUGUUCAGUGGUUUACUCGUGUCACACUGAGACCGUUCACACGAAUAUGAACAUUCUGUUCCAAACCUGUGUGAGUUUCUUUCUUCUAUUGAACACAGAAGAAGAUAUUUUGAAGAA
Molecule: RNA transcript, 1365 nt
Organism: Sinocyclocheilus rhinocerous
Lineage: Eukaryota; Metazoa; Chordata; Actinopteri; Cypriniformes; Cyprinidae
Gene name: UBX domain-containing protein 4-like
Exons: 2
Source: RefSeq, a predicted model, not a curated record